This 317-nucleotide long non-coding RNA is filed under the name Hordeum vulgare. RNAcentral's name for it is "long non-coding RNA (HVUL_LNC006419)". The record is from RNAcentral. Lineage: Eukaryota; Viridiplantae; Streptophyta; Magnoliopsida; Poales; Poaceae.
UCGAGGUCCUUGUGUAAACCUCGAUUAGCUCUUAUGAAGGAACUUCUUUUCCUUGGUCAAAUCAGUCUGUGGCUUGGCGUGCUAAGAGAAGUUGUAUGAAGUGAAGAUAACAAAUCUUCAACACAUAUAACACUUCGGACAUGCGUGAACGAUUUGGGAUUACCCGAGAGGAAGCGAAACAAAACUUUCACAUAUUCACGGUGGCAAGAGUGCAUGUGAACUUUGGGAAAAUACUUCUUCCUAUCAAAUAUAUUCUUCAUGAGCUGGGCACAAAGAUAGUGCUUUCAAAAACUUCAUCCUGGAACAUGGAGAAGUUG